This 292-nucleotide ribosomal RNA is filed under the name uncultured bacterium. RNAcentral's name for it is "partial 16S ribosomal RNA". It matches the Rfam family "Bacterial small subunit ribosomal RNA", at positions 505 to 796 of the family's 1533-position model. The record is from RNAcentral.
GUGUCAGCCGCCGCGGUAAUACGUAGGUUGCGAGCGUUGUCCGGAUUUACUGGGCGUAAAGCGCACGCAGGCGGUUCCGAAAGUCGAAUGUGAAAGCUCCCGGCCCAACUGGGAGAGGCCGUUCGAAACUUCGGGACUUGAAGGCGGGAGAGGCAGAUGGAAUUUCCGGUGUAGCGGUAAAAUGCGUAGAUACCGGAAGGAACACCAGUGGCGAAAGCGAUCUGCUGGCCCGCCCUUGACGCUCAGGUGCGAAAGCUAGGGGAGCGACCGGGAUUAGAUACCCCCGUAGUCC